RNAcentral lists this unclassified non-coding RNA (433 nucleotides) under soil metagenome. RNAcentral's name for it is "partial contains 5.8S ribosomal RNA, internal transcribed spacer 2, and large subunit ribosomal RNA". The stretch from base 1 to 120 matches the Rfam family "5.8S ribosomal RNA", at positions 35 to 154 of the family's 154-position model. The record is from RNAcentral.
GAUGAAGAACGCAGCGAAAUGCGAUACGUAAUGUGAAUUGCAGAAUUCAGUGAAUCAUCGAAUCUUUGAACGCAUAUUGCGCUCUCUGGUAUUCCGGAGAGCAUGCUUGUUUGAGUAUCAGUAAACACCUCAACUCCCCUUUCUUUUUUUGAAAUGGGAGCUGGACUUGAGUGAUCCCAACGCUUUUCUCACCGAAAAGUGGCGGGUUACUUGAAAUGCAGGUGCAGCUGGACUUUUCUCUGAGCUAAAAUCAUAUCUAUUUAGUCUGCCUAAAAAACAGAUUAUUACCUUUGCUGCAGCUAACAUAAAGGAGAUUAGUUCUUGUGCUGACUGAUGCAGGAUUCACAGAGACAGCUUCGGCUGGCCUUUGUAAACUCGAUCUCAAAUCAAGUAAGACUACCCGCUGAACUUAAGCAUAUCAAUAAGCGGAGGA